CUGGGAGGACCAUCUCCUAAGGCUAAAUACUCUCUAGUGACCGAUAGUGAACCAGUACCGUGAGGGAAAGGUGAAAAGCACCCCGGAAGGGGAGUGAAAUAGAACCUGAAACCGUGUGCUUACAAGUAGUCAGAGCCCGUUAAUGGGUGAUGGCGUGCCUUUUGUAGAAUGAACCGGCGAGUUACGAUUUGAUGCAAGGUUAAGCAGUAAAUGUGGAGCCGUAGCGAAAGCGAGUCUGAAUAGGGCGUUUAGUAUUUGGUCGUAGACCCGAAACCAGGUGAUCUACCCUUGGUCAGGUUGAAGUUCAGGUAACACUGAAUGGAGGACCGAACCGACUUACGUUGAAAAGUGAGCGGAUGAACUGAGGGUAGCGGAGAAAUUCCAAUCGAACCUGGAGAUAGCUGGUUCUCUCCGAAAUAGCUUUAGGGCUAGCCUCAAGUGAUGAUUAUUGGAGGUAGAGCACUGUUUGGACGAGGGGCCCCUCUCGGGUUACCGAAUUCAGACAAACUCCGAAUGCCAAUUAAUUUAACUUGGGAGUCAGAACAUGGGUGAUAAGGUCCGUGUUCGAAAGGGAAACAGCCCAGACCACCAGCUAAGGUCCCAAAAUAUAUGUUAAGUGGAAAAGGAUGUGGCGUUGCCCAGACAACUAGGAUGUUGGCUUAGAAGCAGCCAUCAUUUAAAGAGUGCGUAAUAGCUCACUAGUCGAGUGACACUGCGCCGAAAAUGUACCGGGGCUAAACAUAUUACCGAAGCUGUGGAUUGUCCUUUGGACAAUGGUAGGAGAGCGUUCUAAGGGCGUUGAAGCAUGAUCGUAAGGACAUGUGGAGCGCUUAGAAGUGAGAAUGCCGGUGUGAGUAGCGAAAGACGGGUGAGAAUCCCGUCCACCG
Molecule: ribosomal RNA, 887 nt
Filed under: Staphylococcus aureus
Lineage: Bacteria; Bacillati; Bacillota; Bacilli; Caryophanales; Staphylococcaceae
Description: partial 23S ribosomal RNA
Rfam family: Bacterial large subunit ribosomal RNA
Source: RNAcentral